This 1084-nucleotide ribosomal RNA is filed under the name Bacteroides ovatus. RNAcentral's name for it is "partial 16S ribosomal RNA". The record is from RNAcentral. Lineage: Bacteria; Pseudomonadati; Bacteroidota; Bacteroidia; Bacteroidales; Bacteroidaceae.
UAGCAUCCUGUCACCAGGUAGCCGCCUUCUGUACCCCCCAUUGUAACACGUGUGUAGCCCCGGACGUAAGGGCCGUGCUGAUUUGACGUCAUCCCCACCUUCCUCACAUCUUACGACGGCAGUCUCUCUAGAGUCCUCAGCAUAACCUGUUAGUAACUAAAGAUAAGGGUUGCGCUCGUUAUGGCACUUAAGCCGACACCUCACGGCACGAGCUGACGACAACCAUGCAGCACCUUCACAACAGCCUUACGGCUAUACUGUUUCCAAUAUAUUCUGUUGCAAUUUAAGCCCGGGUAAGGUUCCUCGCGUAUCAUCGAAUUAAACCACAUGUUCCUCCGCUUGUGCGGGCCCCCGUCAAUUCCUUUGAGUUUCACCGUUGCCGGCGUACUCCCCAGGUGGAAUACUUAAUGCUUUCGCUUGGCCGCUUACUGUAUAUCGCAAACAGCGAGUAUUCAUCGUUUACUGUGUGGACUACCAGGGUAUCUAAUCCUGUUUGAUACCCACACUUUCGAGCAUCAGUGUCAGUAACAGUCUAGUGAGCUGCCUUCGCAAUCGGAGUUCUUCGUGAUAUCUAAGCAUUUCACCGCUACACCACGAAUUCCGCCCACCUCUACUGUACUCAAGACUGCCAGUUUCAACUGCAAUUUUACGGUUGAGCCGCAAACUUUCACAACUGACUUAACAAUCCACCUACGCUCCCUUUAAACCCAAUAAAUCCGGAUAACGCUCGGAUCCUCCGUAUUACCGCGGCUGCUGGCACGGAGUUAGCCGAUCCUUAUUCAUAUGGUACAUACAAAAUUCCACACGUGGAAAACUUUAUUCCCAUAUAAAAGAAGUUUACGACCCAUAGAGCCUUCAUCCUUCACGCUACUUGGCUGGUUCAGGCUCUCGCCCAUUGACCAAUAUUCCUCACUGCUGCCUCCCGUAGGAGUUUGGACCGUGUCUCAGUUCCAAUGUGGGGGACCUUCCUCUCAGAACCCCUAUCCAUCGUAGUCUUGGUGGGCCGUUACCCCGCCAACAAACUAAUGGAACGCAUCCCCAUCGAUAACCGAAAUUCUUUAAUAAAAAUAUCAUGCGAUAUUCG